GAUGAACGCUGGCGGCGUGCCUAAUACAUGCAAGUCGAGCGGACCAAAGAGAGCUUGCUCUCUGAGGUUAGCGGCGGACGGGUGAGUAACACGUGGGUAACCUGCCUGUAAGACGGGGAUAACUUCGGGAAACCGAAGCUAAUACCGGAUGAUAAAGAGAAACGCCUGUUUCUUUUUUGAAAGUCGGCCUUGUGCUGACGCUUACAGAUGGGCCCGCGGCGCAUUAGCUAGUUGGUGAGGUAACGGCUCACCAAGGCGACGAUGCGUAGCCGACCUGGGAGGGUGAUCGGCCACACUUGGACUGAGACACGGCCCAGACUCCUACGGGAGGCAGCAGUAGGGAAUCUUCGGCAAUGGACGAAAGUCUGACCGAGCAACGCCGCGUGAGCGAUGAAGGCCUUCGGGUCGUAAAGCUCUGCUGUCAGAGAAGAACAAGUACCGGAGUAACUGCCGGUACCUUGACGGUACCUGACCAGAAAGCCACGGCUAACUACGUGCCAGCAGCAGCCGUAA
This 513-nucleotide ribosomal RNA is filed under the name uncultured bacterium. RNAcentral describes it as "partial 16S ribosomal RNA". It matches the Rfam family "Bacterial small subunit ribosomal RNA", at positions 28 to 523 of the family's 1533-position model. The record is from RNAcentral.